RNAcentral lists this ribosomal RNA (164 nucleotides) under Oxalis eriocarpa. Its description in RNAcentral is "5.8S ribosomal RNA". It matches the Rfam family "5.8S ribosomal RNA". From Rfam's summary of the family: 5.8S ribosomal RNA (5.8S rRNA) is a component of the large subunit of the eukaryotic ribosome. It is transcribed by RNA polymerase I as part of the 45S precursor that also contains 18S and 28S rRNA. Functionally, it is thought that 5.8S rRNA may be involved in ribosome translocation. Lineage: Eukaryota; Viridiplantae; Streptophyta; Magnoliopsida; Oxalidales; Oxalidaceae. RNAcentral also lists the same sequence under 4 other names. The record is from RNAcentral.
AAAAUGACUCUCGACAACGGAUAUCUCGGCUCUCGCAUCGAUGAAGAACGUAGCGAAAUGCGAUACUUGGUGUGAAUUGCAGAAUCCCGUGAACCAUCGAGUCUUUGAACGCAAGUUGCGCCCCAAGCCGUUAGGCCGAGGGCACGUCUGCCUGGGUGUCACAC